GUGCUCCCUUUGGCAGUACAUAUACUAAAAUUGGAAUGAUACAGAGAAGAUUAGCAUGGCCCCUGCACAAGGAUGACAAGCAAGUUUGUAGAGUAUAAAAUAUAAUA
Small nuclear RNA from Dromiciops gliroides (monito del monte), 107 nucleotides. Lineage: Eukaryota; Metazoa; Chordata; Mammalia; Microbiotheria; Microbiotheriidae. The record is from RefSeq and is a predicted model, not a curated record.